Molecule: microRNA precursor, 102 nt
Filed under: Marmota monax (woodchuck)
Lineage: Eukaryota; Metazoa; Chordata; Mammalia; Rodentia; Sciuridae
Source: RNAcentral
CAUGCAAUUGCUGGGUUAUAUGGUAACUCCAUGUUUAAUUUUUUAGAAACCACUAGACUGUUUUUCACAGUAACUGAACCAUCUUACAUUCUUACGAGAAAU